AGAGUUUGAUCAUGGCUCAGGAUGAACGCUAGCUACAGGCUUAACACAUGCAAGUCGAGGGGCAGCAUAAUCGAAGCUUGCUUUGAUUGAUGGCGACCGGCGCACGGGUGAGUAACGCGUAUCCAACCUUCCCCUUAGUAGGGCAUAGCCCGGCGAAAGUCGGAUUAAUACCCUAUGUUUUCCAAUGAGGACAUCUGAGCUGGAACAAAGAUUUAUCGCUAAGGGAUGGGGAUGCGUCUGAUUAGCUUGUUGGCGGGGUAACGGCCCACCAAGGCAACGAUCAGUAGGGGUUCUGAGAGGAAGGUCCCCCACAUUGGUACUGAGCCAGGAUCAAACUC
This 338-nucleotide ribosomal RNA is filed under the name uncultured Prevotella sp. Its description in RNAcentral is "bacterial SSU rRNA". It matches the Rfam family "Bacterial small subunit ribosomal RNA", at positions 8 to 338 of the family's 1533-position model. Lineage: Bacteria; Pseudomonadati; Bacteroidota; Bacteroidia; Bacteroidales; Prevotellaceae. The record is from RNAcentral.